CACACGCAAGUACCCCUGUCUCAUUAGCACAUAUAAAAAUUACCAAUCAGGUGAAGAGGCCUGAAUACAAUAAAAAGACAAAAAGACCCUAUGGAGCUUUAUUUAACACCUCAAUACUACCAGCUCACACCACCCUACUUUGAGUAAAUAAAUUUAGUUGGGGCGACUAAGGAAAACUAUAAAUCUUCCUCAUAAAAAAGAAAAUAAAUCCUCAUUGAUCCGUUAUACGAAUAAAGACACAGCUACCCUAGGGAUAACAGGCUAAUUCUUCUCGAGAGCCCAAAUUGACAGAAGAGAUUGGCACCUCGAUGUUGGCUUAGGGUUCCUACAAGGUGCAGAAGCCCUGUAAGUGGGUUUGUUCAACCCUUAAAACCCU
Molecule: ribosomal RNA, 376 nt
Filed under: Laonice sp. 361 PB
Lineage: Eukaryota; Metazoa; Annelida; Polychaeta; Spionida; Spionidae
Description: partial 16S ribosomal RNA
Rfam family: Bacterial large subunit ribosomal RNA (bases 47-376)
Source: RNAcentral